Molecule: long non-coding RNA, 1201 nt
Organism: Pseudophryne corroboree (corroboree frog)
Lineage: Eukaryota; Metazoa; Chordata; Amphibia; Anura; Myobatrachidae
Exons: 5
Source: RefSeq, a predicted model, not a curated record
UCUGCUUCCCGGCACUCUGUGGUGCUGGCGCAGCUCAAGCUACUGGAGCCCCUGUGUGAUCCUACCGGCUACGGAGCUGCCACAGGGGAUUUGUCUGCUGGGAUGGUACAGCUGCUGCUGCUGCUUCCCCUGGUGCACAGCCAGUGUUUCAGUGUCUGUAUUUUACACUGCACCUGGGUUGUCAUGGUGAAGGGACUCCUUGGCAUACCUUGUGCAGCGAUGAUGUCAUCUUUGGGCGCCACGGCCGGGUAGCGGGAAUCGGCCAGCGUGUAUUCACAAGCACAGUGGUGGGUAUAUAAGGAGAACCUGCAACUUGUGUGGAUGGAGGACAGAAAACCUCUUGGUAUUUUUACAUAUUCUUAUGGGAAAAAACUAUGUAAACAGAAAAUGUUGCAAAUGGCAGACUUUCAUCAAAAUGCAAGUACGGGCGAGCACAACGGCAAGCUGCUGCAGGAAGACCAGACCAAUCCCCUUCUCAGCCCCCCUCCCCUUCUGUCGCCCAACCCCCCUCUCCUUCCCAAUCCCCUUCUCAGCCCCCCUCCCCUUCUGUCGCCCAAUCCCCCUCUCCUUCCCAAUCCCAUUCUCAGCCCCCCUCCCCUUCUGUCACCCAAUCCCCCUCUCCUUCCCAAUCCCCUUCUCAGCCCCCCUCCCCUCUCUUUACCAAUACCCCUCUCUGUCCCCCUCCCCUUACCAAUACCCCUCUCUGUCCCCCUCCCCCUCUGUAAGCCAAACCACCACUCCGCCCACCUCCCCCACUCUUUCCCAUUCCCCCUCUCUGGCCCCCUCCCACUCUGUGGCCCAAACACCCUCUCCGCCCCCCUCCCGUCUCAAUCAGACCCACCCUCUGUAAACAGCUCCCUAUUCCAUCGUCCUUCCCCAAUCCCUCCUCCUUCCCCAAUCCCUCCUCCUUCCCCCAUCCAGCCUCCUUCCCCACCCAGUGAAUGGGCAGCAGAAGCUCCUGAGGCUGUUGAGGGUGCUGCGCAUGUGGCUGAUGAGAAUGGUGCAGUUGGAGAUCCCACAAGCCUGCCUGGCAUCAUUGCAAGCCUAAAGGCGAAUUUGCAGGCCAUGCUUGCAGAUGUUGAGAGGCUGGAAAAAUAUUUCUAAUUUGUUAAUUUUAAACUUUUAAAAUAUUUGUUCUUUGUUAUAAAAAAAACACACAAAAAAAUAUGUUCAAAAAUAAAAAAUUGUUUAUUACAGUUAA